RNAcentral lists this ribosomal RNA (200 nucleotides) under uncultured bacterium. Its description in RNAcentral is "partial 16S ribosomal RNA". It matches the Rfam family "Bacterial small subunit ribosomal RNA", at positions 8 to 221 of the family's 1533-position model. The record is from RNAcentral.
AGAGUUUGAUCCUGGCUCAGAAUAAACGCUGGCGGCGUGCCUAACACAUGCAAGUCGAGCGAGAAAGGCCUUCGGGCUGAGUACAGCGGCGAACGGGUGAGAAACGCGUGGGAAUCUACCUUUCAGUGGAGAAUAUCCUCGAGAAAUCGAGGUUAAUACUGCAUACGUCUUGAAAAAGAGAAAGAUGGCCUCUUUGCUGU